UACGAGAGGGCCGCUACCACGCGAGUGGAUGCCAAUCCCCAAAACCUCUCUCAGUUCGGACUGGAGUCUGCAACCCGACUCCACGAAGCUGGAUUCGCUAGUAAUCGCGCAUCAGCCACGGCGCGGUGAAUACGUUCCCGGGCCUUGUACGCACCGCCCGUCAAGCCAUGGGAGCCGGGGGUACCUGAAGUGCGUAACCGCGAGGAGCGCCCUAGGGUAAAACUGGUGACUGGGGCUAAGUCGUAACAAGGUAUC
Molecule: ribosomal RNA, 255 nt
Filed under: uncultured bacterium
Lineage: Bacteria
Description: partial 16S ribosomal RNA
Rfam family: Bacterial small subunit ribosomal RNA
Source: RNAcentral